GAUGAACGCUGGCGGCGUGCCUAAUACAUGCAAGUCGAGCGAACGGACGAGAAGCUUGCUUCUCUGAUGUUAGCGGCGGACGGGUGAGUAACACGUGGAUAACCUACCUAUAAGACUGGGAUAACUUCGGGAAACCGGAGCUAAUACCGGAUAAUAUUUUGAACCGCAUGGUUCAAAAGUGAAAGACGGUCUUGCUGUCACUUAUAGAUGGAUCCGCGCUGCAUUAGCUAGUUGGUAAGGUAACGGCUUACCAAGGCAACGAUGCAUAGCCGACCUGAGAGGGUGAUCGGCCACACUGGAACUGAGACACGGUCCAGACUCCUACGGGAGGCAGCAGUAGGGAAUCUUCCGCAAUGGGCGAAAGCCUGACGGAGCAACGCCGCGUGAGUGAUGAAGGUCUUCGGAUCGUAAAACUCUGUUAUUAGGGAAGAACAUAUGUGUAAGUAACUGUGCACAUCUUGACGGUACCUAAUCAGAAAGCCACGGCUAACUACGUGCCAGCAGCCGCGGUAAUACGUAGGUGGCAAGCGUUAUCCGGAAUUAUUGGGCGUAAAGCGCGCGUAGGCGGUUUUUUAAGUCUGAUGUGAAAGCCCACGGCUCAACCGUGGAGGGUCAUUGGAAACUGGAAAACUUGAGUGCAGAAGAGGAAGGUGGAAUUCCAUGUGUAGCGGUGAAAUGCGCAGAGAUAUGGAGGAACACCAGUGGCGAAGGCGACUUUCUGGUCUGUAACUGACGCUGAUGUGCGAAAGCGUGGGGAUCAAACAGGAUUAGAUACCCUGGUAGUCCACGCCGUAAACGAUGAGUGCUAAGUGUUAGGGGGUUUCCGCCCCUUAGUGCUGCAGCUAACGCAUUAAGCACUCCGCCUGGGGAGUACGACCGCAAGGUUGAAACUCAAAGGAAUUGACGGGGACCCGCACAAGCGGUGGAGCAUGUGGUUUAAUUCGAAGCAACGCGAAGAACCUUACCAAAUCUUGACAUCCUUUGACAACUCUAGAGAUAGAGCCUUCCCCUUCGGGGGACAAAGUGACAGGUGGUGCAUGGUUGUCGUCAGCUCGUGUCGUGAGAUGUUGGGUUAAGUCCCGCAACGAGCGCAACCCUUAAGCUUAGUUGCCAUCAUUAAGUUGGGCACUCUAAGUUGACUGCCGGUGACAAACCGGAGGAAGGUGGGGAUGACGUCAAAUCAUCAUGCCCCUUAUGAUUUGGGCUACACACGUGCUACAAUGGACAAUACAAAGGGCAGCGAAACCGCGAGGUCAAGCAAAUCCCAUAAAGUUGUUCUCAGUUCGGAUUGUAGUCUGCAACUCGACUACAUGAAGCUGGAAUCGCUAGUAAUCGUAGAUCAGCAUGCUACGGUGAAUACGUUCCCGGGUCU
RNAcentral lists this ribosomal RNA (1372 nucleotides) under uncultured bacterium. Its description in RNAcentral is "bacterial SSU rRNA". It matches the Rfam family "Bacterial small subunit ribosomal RNA", at positions 28 to 1381 of the family's 1533-position model. The record is from RNAcentral.